GUUGUUGCGGUUAACGUUCGUAGUUUAUCUGUGAAAAAUGUCGUAUUUCAGUACUGGAUUUAUUUCUGAUCGAUAUAUGCUUACAAGAGUAUAUAGCAAAAUUACUGUGAAAAAAUUUUUGUGUUCAAGGCAGGCUAUUGUUUAGGAAAUAGUAGCACAGGAUAUGAACUGAGUUCUAAAAAUUGUAUCAAAUUUACAGGUUGGAAACGUGACAGGGACAGACGGGGGCAUUCGUACUUCAUUGUCAGAGGUAAAAUUCUAGGAUUUUUGUAUGACGAACGAAAGCGAAGGCAUUUGCCAGGAAUGUUCUCCUUGAUUAAGGACGACUGUUGGGUGCUCAAAGACGAUUAGAUACCGUUGUAGUCUCAACGCCAAACGAUGCCAACCAGGAAUAGGCGAGUGUUACAUUUUGUUGAAUCUUGUCUGAACUUUUAGAGAAAUCAGAGUUUUUGGGUUCCGGGGGGAAUACGGUUGCAAGGCUGAAACUUGAAGGAAUUGACGUAAGGGCACCACCAGGCGCGGAGCCUGCGGCUUAAUUUGACUCAACCCGGGAAAACUUACCAGGUCCGAACAUUGCAAGGAAAGACAGAUUAAAUUUCUUUCUUAAUUUUAUGGAUAGUGGUGCAUGGCCGCUCUUAGUUCGUGGGUUGACUUGUUAGGUUGACUCCAGUAACGAACGAGAUCUUUAUUUGCUAAUUAGCCGUAAAACGUUGUAGGUUUUAUAGUAUCUAGUGUGCUUGGUUUCUUAAAGAGACGAUUUUCAGAAAAGGAGGAAAUGGAAGUUAGAGGCAAUAGCAGGUCUGUGAUGCCCUUAGACGUUCUGGGCUGCUCGCGCGCUACAAUGAUGGAUCCAACUAGUUUGCCUACUUAGAUAUAGGUGGGAAAGCAACAAGUCUACAUCGUGGCGGGGAUAGAUCCUUGAA
This 923-nucleotide ribosomal RNA is filed under the name uncultured marine eukaryote. Its description in RNAcentral is "bacterial SSU rRNA". It matches the Rfam family "Eukaryotic small subunit ribosomal RNA", at positions 609 to 1588 of the family's 1831-position model. The record is from RNAcentral.